Long non-coding RNA from Astyanax mexicanus (Mexican tetra), 886 nucleotides. RefSeq lists it as uncharacterized. The transcript has 2 exons. NCBI's taxonomy places the organism in Eukaryota, Metazoa, Chordata, Actinopteri, Characiformes, Acestrorhamphidae. The record is from RefSeq and is a predicted model, not a curated record.
ACUGCGACACGACUGACUUUCACCACUAUUUAACUGUAAAAUAUUAUAAGUUUAUUAAACGGUCGACACACUUACUCAGUGUUUACUGUAACACAUCGGAAAAACAGAGCACACCAACAGCAGCAGAGAGAGGAAAGCCUUUCUUAUUUUAUACUUGAAAGAAGCUCAUCUUCCACCUCCCAUCCUCACCAUGCUCUAUAGUGGGGCUGUAGGAAGCAUCCUGAGCACCUGCAUUACCGUCUGGUUUUUGGAACUGCAACAUCUCGAAUUGCAAGACCCCACAGCAGAAAGUGAGGACAGCUGAGAAGAUAUUCAGAGUCUCUCUCCCCUCCAUCACCAACAUCUACACCACACAGUGCAACUGCAAAGCCACCAGCAUUGCGGACGACCCCACCCAUCCCUCACACGGACUCUUCGCUCUGAUGCCUUCCAGCAGAAGAUACAGGAACAUCCGAGCCUCCAAUAUUAGACUCUGCAACAGCUUCUUUCAUCAGACCAUCAGACCCCUCAACACACAGAUACAGAGCUGACCCCCCCCCCCAUCACCACACAACUGAACUGAACCCUCCCCUUAGCACACAGAGACUGAGAUGUCUCUAUCCCUAUCAGCAAUAUUUGCUUCAUUCUAUAGAAGUAUAACUCUCUACCUCAGUAACUGCUGUGAACAUGUUUGUUUUAUAUGUUAAAGUAUGUUAAAUAUCCCUACACCUUUUUAUCACUAUACACAUUUCAUUGUACCGUAACUGCACUGUCCUGUCUGUUCAAUUGUUCAAUCACUUUUGCACUUUAUGUUUGCAUUGUUGUCCAAUGUUGAACUGUGUUGGUUCCAGAGGACACUGGUCACUGUGUAAUCAGAUGUAAUGAUAAUAAAAGACUCUUGACUAUA